AUUACUCAUUUUAGCUCUUUAUUUUGGAGGCCACAUGUGAAAUUUCUUGUUUUUUAAAUUUUCGAUACAUCACUUGCGAGAAUCUAUAUAGAAGCUGCAAGUCAUUUGACGUUUAGAGGAGAAUUAACAUUUGCUAUUAUCAAUAUCAUAAAUGAAAUAUACAAUUUAUUAACUAGUGAAAUGUUGACAACAUGGAUGCAAUUGGCUAUGGAGAAGAGGAUGUUGGCAAGACAAAUGAUCAUUAUAUGAAGAAGACAUCUUGAACGACCUACACCCGAAAAAAUGAAAUAAAAAAAGUCUAUGGAAAAAGGAAACGAAAAAUGCUAGCUUUAAAAUUUUGUUUUGCGAAGUUUAUACAAUUACAAGACAUGUUUUAAGGAAUGUACUUUACUUAUGAUCGCACAGAAAGGAAAAUAGAUUGAGAGGUAGCUCAUUUAUCAAAAUUAAUUCCCAUCUUUCUUUCUACAUCAUUGACUGUAAUUGUGCUGGAGCUUAUUAGUUAUGUGGCAUGUUUUCUUGGUGGAGUAAUUUUAGGCAAUCAAAGUUGGGUAAAAAUCUUUAUUUAUUUGAUUUGGAAUCACUUUUUAAUACUAGUUUAGCAUAGUUUUAAAGGAAUGAUGUUUGGCUCUUUUUGAGUUAUUUUUAACGAUAUAAUACUUAUUUUAGGGGUUUCAAACUGUCGAAUGUGUCAUACCUGCAAGCACCACUUUCUACUCAAUUUUUCUUGCUUACGUGGACAUUUUAAUUGUUUUCUCAAUAAAUGUACUUCAGAUUGAACGUAUACUUCUCUCACGUGUCUGCUAUCUAUCCCUUUGGUCAUUUCUAAUGGAGAUGUUAUUUUCCAAUCUCAAAAUUUGAUGAACCUCAUGUUCUUGAUGACGGUGUUGUCAAGAUAUUCACAAUAGUCCUUCACCAAGUCGUUUAGAUAAUGCUUUGAAUGAGACAAAGUCUGCAAAUCUUUCUAUGAUUUAUAUUUGUGAAUUGCAAGGACUAAAGACAAAAUUUGACCCCAAAAAAAGCUAAUUCUCUUGGAUUGAAACCUGGGUCAAAGAAUGAUCUAUUGUAACACCUUUUAAAGUUUGACUUAACAGUGUUAGCCUUUUCAAGUUUUCUUAUUUUUGCAUUGAUUCACUUGUAAUGUUCAGGUUCACCCAAUGGAUGUACUUGGCCCUUCUGUUCCUGCCCCUUUAGUAUUGAUAAUGGAUUGAUCUACGCUGUUGCAGCUACAAGAGUUACUGUCUGUACAAAGUCUUUCGUUAUUAUGUUGAUACAGUUGAAAAUGUACCAAAAAUUUCGAAAAAUGUGAAUUGUAUAACCUACGCACAUCACAAACACGUCUGAUUAUCAAAUAUUGAUGUCAAAAUUUGGUGCAGCUCAGCAUAUCAUGGCAGGGAAUGAAAUCUCUUGGUUUCUGGUCUCUUAAAUGCAUGCCUUCUGGCUUGAAGACAUCAGAUGAGGAUCUCACAUCAAGAAUCAAUGAAACCAAUCCAGCAAAGAAUCUUCUCAGUGUCUGAAUUGUCAACUAAAUCAAUUAGUUUCCAAGAAUUAUAAUUGAAAUUAUCCAAUUGAUAUAAAUGACUGAUAAAAUGUAAAGACAAAUGUUUAAAAUAGUUUAUAAAUUUCUGAAAAAAAGCAGGUAUUAGUGUAGGUAGAUUGAAAUGCUAUCUCCUUUAAUUGUUUAAUCUUGAUGAUUGCUAUAUAAACUCGACUCAGAACUAUUGAAAGUUAUAGAUAUGAAAUCUUUCUUUAUAGAAGUGCAAGGAUAGUGGAAGCUUAAUAGUUAGUAGAUUUUGUAAGUCUUGCCAUUAUUAAUGUUUAUGCUUAUUAUAUGUGAUACGUUCAUGCUAUUAAUUUGUUAGCAGCUUCAAGAAUGCUCUAAAUGAAUCUGGUUUUCUUUUAUGCGCUAGUAAUACAUGAUGUUAUGUGCGGAACUAUUCCAUUUGCGUCCCUACACAAAUCUGGGACUUAACAAACUAUCAGAUAUUCUAGAGAAGUCUAAAAAAUUAAACCAGUUGUGGUCAGGGAAUGGAGAAACUAGUGGAGAGAAGACAUUUGUACAAGCUAAUGGAGUUAUGACUGAAGAGCUAUCGUUGCAUGAUGGUGCACUUUCAAAGUAUCAAAAAUAUCACCAUAUGGGUCUAGCUAGGAUACUUGCUCUUCGAACGAAUUAGUUGAAGGGAAUACCUCAUGAUCAUCUGAUUGUCAUUGGCAGUUUCUUGAUUGUGAGUAUACGAAAGAAAGCUUCACUCAAGGCUUUUAAUUUAAACGAGGAUGGAUUCUACUAUGUCUGAUGGAGGAGGUAGCAUGCAAAGCUGCUCGAAGAGGCAGAGAAUUCCUGUUCAGAAUGUUGCUGCCAUUCCGAUUCUCAAGUCCUUGGAGAAGGUUCUUGUGGAAGCUGGAUUAGAAACAUUAAUUAGUGUUCCUAUUAAACGCUAUGAACUGGCAUUUGGUAUCAUAUUGAAUGUCGCGAAUAGGAUCAGUAGAGUUGAAAAAAUGAUAUUUGGGUGGAAACUUGUUUAUUCUGGUGACACAAGGCCUUUACUUCAACUUAAUCAAGCUUCAUGUGGAGUAACUGUUCCUAUACACGAGGCUACGUUUAAAUAUAGUCUGUCGAAAGAGGCUGAAGAAUAGAAACCACAACACUAUGAAAGAAGCCGUGGAAGCUGGAAACUUGAGUGGAGUGUAUAGCUUAAUCCUCACUCACUUCAACUAAUCAAUACCCGAAAAUUCCCAAAUGUGAUGGAAAAAUUCACAAGCAUAAAAUGUGCAUUGCUUUUGAUAAUAUGAUUAUUAACUUGGCUGAUUUGCCUGUUCUUCCAGGAUUAGUGCCAUCCCUAGAACUCUUGGUGGGUGAUGAAAUGAUUACCAAGGAUGUAAUUGCUGCUUAAUUUAUUCUUUAAGUCCUUUUAUUUAAAUUUGUGGAGUUGGUUAAUAGUUAAAUAUACUCUUCAGUAAGGGAUUGAGCCAAAACUUAUUCCAAAUUUAAAUUGCAUUUCUACAUGAAAACAACGUUUUAACUCAUCUAA
RNA transcript from Olea europaea var. sylvestris, 3026 nucleotides. It is a transcript of the gene named tRNase Z TRZ3, mitochondrial-like, with no coding region annotated. NCBI's taxonomy places the organism in Eukaryota, Viridiplantae, Streptophyta, Magnoliopsida, Lamiales, Oleaceae. The transcript is spliced from 5 exons. The record is from RefSeq and is a predicted model, not a curated record.